Molecule: ribosomal RNA, 549 nt
Filed under: uncultured bacterium
Lineage: Bacteria
Description: bacterial SSU rRNA
Rfam family: Bacterial small subunit ribosomal RNA
Source: RNAcentral
GGCAGCAGUGGGGAAUCUUGCACAAUGGAGGAAACUCUGAUGCAGCGAUGCCGCGUGAGUGAAGAAGGCCCUUGGGUUGUAAAGCUCUUUCGUCGGGGAAGAAAAUGACUGUACCCGAAUAAGAAGGUCCGGCUAACUUCGUGCCAGCAGCCGCGGUAAUACGAAGGGACCUAGCGUAGUUCGGAAUUACUGGGCUUAAAGAGUUCGUAGGUGGUUGAAAAAGUUAGUGGUGAAAUCCCAGAGCUUAACUCUGGAACUGCCAUUAAAACUUUUCAGCUAGAGUAUGAUAGAGGAAAGCAGAAUUUCUAGUGUAGAGGUGAAAUUCGUAGAUAUUAGAAAGAAUACCAAUUGCGAAGGCAGCUUUCUGGAUCAUUACUGACACUGAGGAACGAAAGCAUGGGUAGCGAAGAGGAUUAGAUACCCUCGUAGUCCAUGCCGUAAACGAUGUGUGUUAGACGUUGGAAAUUUAUUUUCAGUGUCGCAGGGAAACCGAUAAACACACCGCCUGGGGAGUACGACCGCAAGGUUAAAACUCAAAUGAAUUGACGG